Molecule: ribosomal RNA, 456 nt
Filed under: uncultured bacterium
Lineage: Bacteria
Description: SSU rRNA
Rfam family: Bacterial small subunit ribosomal RNA
Source: RNAcentral
AGAACGAACGCUGGCGGCAUGCCUAACACAUGCAAGUCGAACGCUCUUGGGGCUUCGGUUCCAAGGGAGUGGCGCACGGGUGAGUAGCGCGUGGGAACCUGCCCUGGAGUAGGGGAUAACCGAGGGAAACUUCGGCUAAUACCGCAUGCGCCCGGGAAACCGGGGAAAGAUUUAUCGCUCUAGGAGGGGCCCGCGUCGGAUUAGCUAGUUGGUGGGGUAACGGCCUACCAAGGCUUUGAUCCGUAGCUGGUCUGAGAGGAUGAUCAGCCACACUGGGACUGAGACACGGCCCAGACUCCUACGGGAGGCAGCAGUGGGGAAUAUUGGACAAUGGGCGCAAGCCUGAUCCAGCAAUGCCGCGUGAGUGAUGAAGGCCUUCGGGUUGUAAAGCUCUUCCGCACGCGACGAUGAUGACGGUAGCGUGAGAGAAGCCCGCUAACUCGUGCCAGCAGCCGC